This 501-nucleotide ribosomal RNA is filed under the name uncultured bacterium. RNAcentral's name for it is "partial 16S ribosomal RNA". It matches the Rfam family "Bacterial small subunit ribosomal RNA", at positions 30 to 523 of the family's 1533-position model. The record is from RNAcentral.
AUUGAACGCUGGCGGCAGGCUUAACACAUGCAAGUCGAGCGGAGAUGAGGUGCUUGCACCUUAUCUUAGCGGCGGACGGGUGAGUAAUGCUUAGGAAUCUGCCUAUUAGUGGGGGACAACAUUCCGAAAGGAAUGCUAAUACCGCAUACGUCCUACGGGAGAAAGCAGGGGAUCUUCGGACCUUGCGCUAAUAGAUGAGCCUAAGUCGGAUUAGCUAGUUGGUGGGGUAAAGGCCUACCAAGGCGACGAUCUGUAGCGGGUCUGAGAGGAUGAUCCGCCACACUGGGACUGAGACACGGCCCAGACUCCUACGGGAGGCAGCAGUGGGGAAUAUUGGACAAUGGGGGGAACCCUGAUCCAGCCAUGCCGCGUGUGUGAAGAAGGCCUUAUGGUUGUAAAGCACUUUAAGCGAGGAGGAGGCUACUGAGACUAAUACUCUUGGAUAGUGGACGUUACUCGCAGAAUAAGCACCGGCUAACUCUGUGCCAGCCGCCGCCGCCG